UACGUAGGGUGCAAGCGUUGUCCGGAAUUAUUGGGCGUAAAGAGCUCGUAGGCGGUUCGUCGCGUCGGCUGUGAAAUCCCGAGGCUCAACCUCGGGUCUGCAGUCGAUACGGGCGGACUGGAGUUCGGCAGGGGAGACUGGAAUUCCUGGUGUAGCGGUGAAAUGCGCAGAUAUCUGGAGGAACACCGGUGGCGAAGGCGGCAUCCUGGACCGGUAUUGACGCUGAGGCGCGAAAGCUAGGGGAGCAAACGGG
Molecule: ribosomal RNA, 253 nt
Filed under: uncultured bacterium
Lineage: Bacteria
Description: partial 16S ribosomal RNA
Rfam family: Bacterial small subunit ribosomal RNA
Source: RNAcentral